GGCUCCGGUGGCCUAGCGGUUAGGGCGUCCGCGAGAUAUGCGGGAGGUCGUGGGUUCGAUCCCAGGCCGUGUCA
Molecule: non-coding RNA, 74 nt
Organism: Potamilus streckersoni
Lineage: Eukaryota; Metazoa; Mollusca; Bivalvia; Unionida; Unionidae
Source: the annotation of a GenBank genome assembly